This 253-nucleotide ribosomal RNA is filed under the name uncultured bacterium. RNAcentral's name for it is "partial 16S ribosomal RNA". It matches the Rfam family "Bacterial small subunit ribosomal RNA", at positions 524 to 776 of the family's 1533-position model. The record is from RNAcentral.
UACGGAGGGGGCUAGCGUUGUUCGGAAUUAUUGGGCGUAAAGAGCUCGUAGGCGGUUCGUCGCGUCGGCUGUGAAAUCCCGAGGCUCAACCUCGGGUCUGCAGUCGAUACGGGCGGACUGGAGUUCGGCAGGGGAGACUGGAAUUCCUGGUGUAGCGGUGAAAUGCGCAGAUAUCAGGAGGAACACCGGUGGCGAAGGCGGGUCUCUGGGCCGAUACUGACGCUGAGGAGCGAAAGCCAGGGGAGCAAACGGG